UACGUAGGUGACAAGCGUUGUCCGGAUUUACUGGGCGUAAAGAGCGCGCAGGCGGUCGUUCAAGUCGAGUGUGAAAGCCCCCGGCUCAACUGGGGAGGGUCAUUCGAUACUGAUCGACUCGAAGGCAGGGGAGGGAAGUGGAAUUCCCGGUGUAGUGGUGAAAUGCGUAGAUAUCGGGAGGAACACCAGUGGCGAAGGCGACUUCCUGGCCUGUUCUUGACGCUGAGGCGCGAAAGCUAGGGGAGCAAACGGG
This 253-nucleotide ribosomal RNA is filed under the name uncultured bacterium. RNAcentral describes it as "partial 16S ribosomal RNA". It matches the Rfam family "Bacterial small subunit ribosomal RNA", at positions 524 to 776 of the family's 1533-position model. The record is from RNAcentral.